RNAcentral lists this microRNA precursor (63 nucleotides) under Pristionchus pacificus. RNAcentral describes it as "microRNA ppc-mir-8359 precursor". Lineage: Eukaryota; Metazoa; Nematoda; Chromadorea; Rhabditida; Neodiplogasteridae. The record is from miRBase by way of RNAcentral.
ACGAGAGAACGAAUGUCUGAUUCGCCCCAUUCCGCUCUCGAAUCAGACAUUCGUUCUCUCGCU